RNAcentral lists this ribosomal RNA (483 nucleotides) under uncultured bacterium. RNAcentral's name for it is "partial 16S ribosomal RNA". It matches the Rfam family "Bacterial small subunit ribosomal RNA", at positions 28 to 523 of the family's 1533-position model. The record is from RNAcentral.
GACGAACGCUGGCGGCGUGCUUAACACAUGCAAGUCGAACGAUGAAGCCGGAGCUUGCUCCGGUGGAUCAGUGGCGAACGGGUGAGUAACACGUGAGCAAUCUGCCCUUCACUCUGGGAUAACUGCGGGAAACUGUAGCUAAUACCGGAUAAGACACCCUGGGGCAUCCCAGGGUGUGGAAAGAAGUUCGGUCAAGGGUGAGCUCGCGGCCUAUCAGCUAGUUGGUGGGGUAAUGGCUCACCAAGGCGACAACGGGUAGCCGGCCUGGGAGGGUGGCCGGCCACACUGGAACUGAGACACGGUCCAGACUCCUACGGGAGGCAGCAGUGGGGAAUAUUGCACAAUGGGCGAAAGCCUGAUGCAGCAACGCCGCGUGAGGGAUGAAGGCCUUUGGGUUGUAAACCUCUUUUAGCAGGGAAGAAGCGAAAGUGACGGUACCUGCAGAAAAAGCACCGGCUAACUACGUGCCAGCCGCCGCCGUAA